GCUUGUCUCAAAGAUUAAGCCAUGCAUGUCUAAGUAUAAGCAACUAUACGGUGAAACUGCGAAUGGCUCAUUAAAUCAGUUAUCGUUUAUUUGAUAGUACCUCACUACAUGGAUAACCGUGGUAAUUCUAGAGCUAAUACAUGCUAAAAACCCCGACUCACGAAGGGGUGUAUUUAUUAGAUAAAAAACCAAUGCCCUUCGGGGCUCCUUGGUGAAUCAUGAUAACUUAACGAAUCGCAUGGCCUUGCGCCGGCGAUGGUUCAUUCAAAUUUCUGCCCUAUCAACUUUCGAUGGUAGGAUAGUGGCCUACCAUGGUCUCAACGGGUAACGGGGAAUUAGGGUUCGACUCCGGAGAGGGAGCCUGAGAAACGGCUACCACAUCCAAGGAAGGCAGCAGG
RNAcentral lists this ribosomal RNA (398 nucleotides) under uncultured Dothideomycetes. RNAcentral describes it as "partial small subunit ribosomal RNA". It matches the Rfam family "Eukaryotic small subunit ribosomal RNA", at positions 30 to 432 of the family's 1831-position model. The record is from RNAcentral. Lineage: Eukaryota; Fungi; Ascomycota; Dothideomycetes.